AGGCAUCUCAUUGUAUUGUUUACUUGUAUCUGGUUUAUUUGAAUAUCAGUGAAUAUUAAGUAAAGUAUUAACGUAACACGAUGGAUAGAAUGCAGUUUGCAAUUUUCUUUUAUUUACACAAUGUGUGCAGCCGGCUACAUCGGACUCAAAAUAAGCUGUUCAAGAUCAUUAAAUGCCGAUGGGACGACACGCCACCAGACAGAUCCCCCAAGUAAAGUGAAGAAAUAGGAGUCAAAGGAAUAUGGUCCUUAACAAGCCAAAUACUCAAUGCUAUCAGUAUUUUUAGAAAUGUAUGUAUGUAUUGUAGAGUAUAUUUAGGUAAUAAGAUUAUAUUUUGCUUGGCAGAAAACCUUAUUUAUUGUUUUUGUGAUUUUGUUUGAAGCUAUGGAAUAAAAUACUCAUAUCAAACAUUUAA
Molecule: long non-coding RNA, 415 nt
Organism: Spodoptera frugiperda (fall armyworm)
Lineage: Eukaryota; Metazoa; Arthropoda; Insecta; Lepidoptera; Noctuidae
Exons: 2
Source: RefSeq, a predicted model, not a curated record